UGAGGAAUAUUGGUCAAUGGGCGCAAGCCUGAACCAGCCAUCCCGCGUGCAGGAAGACGGCCCUAUGGGUUGUAAACUGCUUUUCCAGGGGACGAAUAGUUUCUACGUGUAGGGACAUGACGGUACCUUGGGAAUAAGCAUCGGCUAACUCCGUGCCAGCAGCCGCGGUAAUACGGAGGAUGCAAGCGUUAUCCGGAUUCAUUGGGUUUAAAGGGUGCGUAGGCGGACUGAUAAGUCAGUGGUGAAAUCCUGCAGCUUAACUGUAGAACUGCCAUUGAUACUGUUAGUCUUGAGUUUGGUUAAGGUAGGCGGAAUGUGUAAUGUAGCGGUGAAAUGCUUAGAUAUUACACAGAACACCAAUUGCGUAGGCAGCUUACUGAGCCGACACUGACGCUGAGGCACGAAAGCGUGGGGAUCGAACA
RNAcentral lists this ribosomal RNA (422 nucleotides) under uncultured prokaryote. Its description in RNAcentral is "bacterial SSU rRNA". It matches the Rfam family "Bacterial small subunit ribosomal RNA", at positions 355 to 774 of the family's 1533-position model. The record is from RNAcentral.